Long non-coding RNA from Passer domesticus (house sparrow), 608 nucleotides. RefSeq lists it as uncharacterized. The transcript is spliced from 4 exons. NCBI's taxonomy places the organism in Eukaryota, Metazoa, Chordata, Aves, Passeriformes, Passeridae. The record is from RefSeq and is a predicted model, not a curated record.
CUGGAGGCUGGGGAGGCAGGGCACGGGGCCUGCCAGGUGAGGACUGGGAGGUGACCCCACACCUAGGGGCAUGGCAUCCUCUGCAUGAGGGGCUCUGAAUCCUGCUGCUCACAGACCCACUGACCUCUCUGUCCUGUCCUUCAGGCACCCACAAAGCCAAUGAGAAUUUGAGAUGCAGAGUGAACACAGGACCAGCUUCUACCACAUCCUGCUGCAGCAGAAGCCCAUAAAGUGAUUGUGUUUUGUUGACUGACUCCUGCCCUUUAUGAUUUACAGCCUCCCCUCACAGCUCUGCAGUGAUUAGUACCGUUCUCCUCUGAUAGAGGCUCUGCCAGCAAUGUCAAAUUUGCAGUUACAUCUUCUGUUGAACUGGUGAGAAAAGGUCAUUAACUUGUUGUCUGCUGUCUGUUCCUGGCUGCCAAUGAACUGUUCCCCACAAACCAAGGGUCAAGAGCUGCUCUAAUACAGAGCUGAUAAGCCCUUGCUCCAGCACUGCAAUCUCUGCACUUGUACCACACCAUCAAGAACAAAUGUGCACCCGGCAGCAGGAUAAUGACACGGAGCCACCACUGCAGUUUUCAUCAAGAUGAGGUUUCAAGGACUGAAAC